GAACUGAAGAGUUUGAUCCUGGCUCAGAUUGAACGCUGGCGGGAUGCUUUACACAUGCAAGUCGGACGGCAGCACGGGCUUCGGCCUGGUGGCGAGUGGCGAACGGGUGAGUAAUGUAUCGGAACGUGCCCAGUAGCGGGGGAUAACUACGCGAAAGCGUGGCUAAUACCGCAUACGCCCACGGGGGAAAGCGGGGGACCUUCGGGCCUCGCACUAUUGGAGCGGCCGAUAUCGGAUUAGCUAGUUGGUGGGGUAACGGCCUACCAAGGCGACGAUCCGUAGCUGGUUUGAGAGGACGACCAGCCACACUGGGACUGAGACACGGCCCAGACUCCUACGGGAGGCAGCAGUGGGGAAUUUUGGACAAUGGGGGCAACCCUGAUCCAGCCAUCCCGCGUGUGCGAUGAAGGCCUUCGGGUUGUAAAGCACUUUUGGCAGGAAAGAAACGGCACGGGCUAAUAUCCUGUGCAACUGACGGUACCUGCAGAAUAAGCACCGGCUAACUACGUGCCAGCAGCCGCGGUAAUACGUAGGGUGCAAGCGUUAAUCGGAAUUACUGGGCGUAAAGCGUGCGCAGGCGGUUCGGAAAGAAAGAUGUGAAAUCCCAGGGCUUAACCUUGGAACUGCAUUUUUAACUACCGGGCUAGAGUGUGUCAGAGGGAGGUGGAAUUCCGCGUGUAGCAGUGAAAUGCGUAGAUAUGCGGAGGAACACCGAUGGCGAAGGCAGCCUCCUGGGAUAACACUGACGCUCAUGCACGAAAGUGUGGGGAGCAAACAGGAUUAGAUACCCUGGUAGUCCACGCCCUAAACGAUGUCAACUAGCUGUUGGGGCCUUCGGGCCUUGGUAGCGCAGCUAACGCGUGAAGUUGACCGCCUGGGGAGUACGGUCGCAAGAUUAAAACUCAAAGGAAUUGACGGGGACCCGCACAAGCGGUGGAUGAUGUGGAUUAAUUCGAUGCAACGCGAAAAACCUUACCUACCCUUGACAUGUCUGGAAUCCCGAAGAGAUUUGGGAGUGCUCGCAAGAGAACCGGAACACAGGUGCUGCAUGGCUGUCGUCAGCUCGUGUCGUGAGAUGUUGGGUUAAGUCCCGCAACGAGCGCAACCCUUGUCAUUAGUUGCUACGAAAGGGCACUCUAAUGAGACUGCCGGUGACAAACCGGAGGAAGGUGGGGAUGACGUCAAGUCCUCAUGGCCCUUAUGGGUAGGGCUUCACACGUCAUACAAUGGUCGGGACAGAGGGUUGCCAACCCGCGAGGGGGAGCCAAUCCCAGAAACCCGGUCGUAGUCCGGAUCGCAGUCUGCAACUCGACUGCGUGAAGUCGGAAUCGCUAGUAAUCGCGGAUCAGCAUGUCGCGGUGAAUACGUUCCCGGGUCUUGUACACACCGCCCGUCACACCAUGGGAGUGGGUUUUACCAGAAGUAGUUAGCCUAACCGCAAGGGGGGCGAUUACCACGGUAGGAUUCAUGACUGGGGUGAAGUCGUAACAAGGUAGCCGUAUCGGAAGGUGCGGCUGGAUCACCUCCUUU
This 1530-nucleotide ribosomal RNA is filed under the name Bordetella pertussis. RNAcentral describes it as "bacterial SSU rRNA". It matches the Rfam family "Bacterial small subunit ribosomal RNA". Lineage: Bacteria; Pseudomonadati; Pseudomonadota; Betaproteobacteria; Burkholderiales; Alcaligenaceae. The record is from RNAcentral.